Molecule: non-coding RNA, 175 nt
Organism: Ovis aries (sheep)
Lineage: Eukaryota; Metazoa; Chordata; Mammalia; Artiodactyla; Bovidae
Source: Rfam
GGCCCCUACGGGAAUAAGGGCAUCGCCUCCUUUGGUGAAGGCCACUCCCUUCAGAUGGAGGAUGGGAACUCCUUUCUUCCUGCAGAGGCCUGCCUGCUGCAGUCCUGCUAGGACAGUGUGGACACCGUAGGCUGCCACAGCUGCUAGCACCCCAGAAAGAAAGCACCCCAGAGCC